CAUGCAAGUCGAGGGGCAGCGCGAGGUAGCAAUACUUUGGCGGCGACCGGCGCACGGGUGCGUAACACGUAUGUAACUUACCUCUUACAAUCGGAUAACACGGUGAAAGUCGUGCUAAUACGGUAUAGUUUCGCAAGCUCGCAUGGGCAUGCGAAUAAAGAUUCAUCGGUAGGAGAUAGACAUGCGGUCCAUUAGAUAGUUGGUGAGGUAACGGCUCACCAAGUCGACGAUGGAUAGGGGGACUGAGAGGUUGACCCCCCACACUGGUACUGAGACACGGACCAGACUCCUACGGGAGGCAGCAGUGAGGAAUAUUGGUCAAUGGGCGAGAGCCUGAACCAGCCAAGUCGCGUGAAGGAAGACGGUUCAUAAGGAUUGUAAACUUCUUUUGCAGAGGAGUAACGGUAGGCACGUGUGCCUGUGUGAACGUACUCUGCGAAUAAGUAUCGGCUAACUCCGUGCCAGCAGCCGCGGUAAUACGGAGGAUACGAGCGUUAUCCGGAAUUAUUGGGUUUAAAGGGUGCGUAGGUGGCUAUUUAAGUCAGGGGUGAAAAGCAUGAGCUCAACUCAUGUCUUGCCUUUGAAACUGGACAGCUAGAGAAAAGACGAGGUAUGUGGAAUGUGUGGUGUAGCGGUGAAAUGCAUAGAUAUCACACAGAACUCCGAUUGCGCAGGCAGCGUACCAGACUUCUUCUGACACUGAAGCACGAAAGCGUGGGGAUCAAACAGGAUUAGAUACCCUGGUAGUCCACGCAGUAAACGAUGAAUACUAGUUUUUUGCGAUAUACGGUAAGAGACUAAGCGAAAGCGAUAAGUAUUCCACCUGGGGAGUACGCCGGCAACGGUGAAACUCAAAGGAAUUGACGGGGGCCCGCACAAGCGGAGGAACAUGUGGUUUAAUU
Molecule: ribosomal RNA, 902 nt
Filed under: uncultured bacterium
Lineage: Bacteria
Description: bacterial SSU rRNA
Rfam family: Bacterial small subunit ribosomal RNA
Source: RNAcentral